Molecule: long non-coding RNA, 4759 nt
Organism: Mus musculus (house mouse)
Lineage: Eukaryota; Metazoa; Chordata; Mammalia; Rodentia; Muridae
Product: predicted gene, 30120
Exons: 4
Source: RefSeq, a predicted model, not a curated record
CAACCCCUCACAGGAGAACGGAAUUAACAUCAAAUAUAAUUAGCCCCAGGGAUAUCCACAAUUUAUGACGUCAAAACCUUGCCACUUUAUCUCUGGACAGACCAGGACUGCUAUCCCUAGGCAGCUGCUAGCUAGGGCCAUCCUGCCUGGCUGGCAGAACCAUGCUCCUCCUAACAAGAGAACUGGGAAGCACUCCUUUAUCUAAAUUCUACAUAGUGUAGCUUAGUUUUUCUUAAGCAACUUUAGUAUUACUCCCCGUUUGUCCUAGAUGAAUACAGUGCCUUUCUCCUUAUUUCUGAAACUCCAACAGCUCGAAUAGCUAGAUCUUUGUGUGUUACUCCACACAAGGUUUUCCCUGACAGCUUUUGGUGAUUUCUGAUCUGCUUUUUCAAAUGGGAUACUUUCAUUUGGAUUCUAGUUGGUUUUCUUCGUGUGUUGCCCUCAUUUCUGUUACAAUGUUUCAGAUGUUGAGUUUUCUAGUUAAAAAGUUUCUGUUCCUUUUCUCGAUGUCUAUUUUCUGUUAAGAGCUAGUACCUUUCUGUUGGUGGAAGACUAAGUGUUUUGUCCCAGCAUCUAGGGCACCUGGCACUGUUAACCCUCCAUUUUCUUUUUCCGUGCGAAUAGCUCGUCUUUUGCUGGUGUUUCCUGUGAUGGAAAGCUUUUGAUUCUUUGAUGACUGUGCUGUGGGACUCCAUCUUCCCAUAGCUCUCUGCCAUCACUGAGUAGGUCCAUACCAGUCCCAUCUUGUCAUUUCUGCCAAGAGUUCCUAUUGUCACUUAAGCUGUUAGGAUCUGUCCUCUCUCUGUUCCUUUGGGUGUAGCGCAUGCUUGUGCCAUGUAGAGGUUAUCCUGGGACCCAGGCAGGAGUUUCAGUUAAAACCUCGGCUCCUUCGACCUUCACUCUGCUCUUCUGGGUACACACACACACACACACACACACACACACACACGAAGGGUUAUUAGUUAUUCCUCCUGUUGCUGUGAAAAAUCUCUGACCAGCGCAACUGAAGAAAGGAAAGGUUUAUUUUAGCUGCAGGCGUAAGGGUUCAAUCCAUCACGGCAGGAAGGUGUGAGGACAGGAGCAUGAAGCAGCUGGUCACAGGGCAUCCACAGUCAGAUGUGGUGAAGCAGGGAAUGGUGAGUGCGGGUGCCGCACUCCCUUUUUCCGCCCAGCUGCAUCGUAGAACAGAGCAAGUUCAUACCUGUCUGAACGCAACCACAAACCCAUGAGCAUUCUAUCUAUCUAACUUAGCUUUUGAGGCAGGGUCUUUCUGUGUAAUCCUGGCUGUCAGAAAAUCUCUGUAGACGAGGCUGGCCUCAAACAAACUUACAGGGAUCUGCCUCCCGAGUGCUGGGAUUAAAGAUGUGUGCCACUGCACCUGGCUUUAUGAGCAUUUUAUUUAUUCUAAACCCUUCCUUAAGGCUUCAUUGUAUGUGUAUUGGUGUUUUGCCUGUAUGUAUACUCUGUGCAUGGCUGGUACCUGAGGAGGUCAGAAGAGGGCAUUAGAUCCCCUGGAACUGGAGUUACAGGUGGGUGUGAGCCACCGUGUGUGUGUGUGUGUGUGUGUGUGUGUGUGCUGGGAGUUAAACCUGGGUCCUCUGGAUGGGCAGCCAGUGCUGUCAACCACUGAGCCAUCUCUCCAGCCCCCAUCCAUGAACAUUGAAAUGUUCACCCUAUACUUCUAACUGUUGGGGUGUCUGUUACACAACCUGGGAACUUCAGACUGUGUACAACUGUGCUCUCCCAAGUCUACGUUCCACCUCCUCUCCGCCUGAUGCCCUUCCCCCACUGUGUUUGAUGCCUUUGGAUAUUCAUUCCAUUACGAACAGUGGCCAGCCAGGUGUGGAGUCCAAACUGUCAAUAGUGAUAAUGCAAAGUAAAGCCUUUAUGUCUGGCUUUGAGUAAAAUGUUUCAGCAGAGCCUAUGCUAAGUUUGGGUCGAUCCAUAGAGGCUGAGAAGUAUUUUGAGGCUGUUUGAACUUAGAGAAGAAAUGUUGUGUCUCUCGAAGGUCCGCACUUGGUGCUACCUGAGAGCUUGCCGCCACACAAACCUUGAUCCUAAGACACGCGUGGCAAACCUGGAGUUCUUCCUCUUGAUUUCCGGCUAGCCGUGAUCAAAGCGACUGAAGUUCGUAUGGGUCAUUUGCUCUCUCUGGUAGCAAAGGAAAGAAAACCAACCUUGGUAGUUGGAACCUUUCCCAGACCUAAUUAAUUUUGUCUAAUGAUUGAAUAAACGUAACUGGCGUGAGCUAGAUGUGGUCCAGCCUUUUUUUUUUUUUUUCCCAAGAAGGCCGAACCUCUCUGCAUCCUUUGAAAAAUGAAGGUUUAGCAUCUUGGUGAGCUUCUCUCUCUAGUGCGGCACCUACAACUGACAUCAGUUCGACAGAGGGAAACUGUGCCUUGAGAUCAAAAUCAAAGAGCCUGAAGCGACAUCUCGGUGAUUAAGAACGUGCAUUGCUCUGGCUGAGGAUGUGAGUUCAGGUGCCCACCCAGAACAGAAAAGGAUGCCGAGUCUCCUGGAGCUGGAAUUACAGUCACUGUAAGCUGCUCUCGGCCUGCCUGUACCCCACGGAAGUUGGAACAUAUUGGAAUAACUGCACCCAUGGCUGUCAAGGACUACCUGGGCCUCUGGACUAACAUGGCAGGAAUUGUAACUUCUUCCUCAGCUUUCUCAACGGCAGUUUUAUUUAUGCAUUUCCUUUCUUCAGUCUGUUUUGGCUGGCUGGCCGUCAAGCGCCAUGGAGCCAACUGCUCUCCAUCUCCCCGUGCUAGAAUUGCGUCUGCGCAGUAGGUCACCCAGCCUCUUGACGUUGGCUCUGGGCUCGAACUGGAGUUCUCCGGCCAUCAUUUUUCCACAGUGAGCAUCUCACCAACGGAGUCUUCAUCUAACCAUUGUUCCUGGGUUUUUGAGACACAGUCUGGACACAUAGUUCGGGCUAGCUUAGAACUCAAUGCUGAGACCAGGUUGGCGUCAAACUUGGAACAGUCCUCCUGCCUUAGCCUCGGGAAUGCUAGGGUUAUAAGCACAUACCAGCAGGCUUGGCUCUAGCAAUUUCUUGGAACAUGGUGAGAUUUCAGGCUACAUUAACUACAUGGAGCUUGGAUCUGAAACAGCCCGUGGGAGUGCCGCCGUGAGAUGGGUUCCAUCCCCAGGACUGCAUACACCCUGUGUGGUGGAGGCAGGAGGAUCAGGAGUUCAGAAUUAGGCUGAUCUACAUAAUGAGCCUGGGUUACAUGAGACCAUCUCUCAAAAACCAAACAAAGCCACGUGUCAUGCAUGCUUUAGAAUGGUCUUAGUUACUUAAAUUGCUGUCUCUAAUUUUCAUUCUCUGCCCAAGACCAUGUUUUCUUCUGAUGGGCUGAUUGCACGUGGUUAGGAACUUCCUGGUUCCGUCUAAUUGAGACCAAGUUAACAUCUGAGGGUAUAGACCCUGGCCAACAGUGUGAUCUCCUUAGUCCCCAGAAGAUGACCAUCAUUUUCCCUUCUUGUCUGCAAGAAGACAGGUGAUAAUUAAAUGACUCCUGGCACCUCUUCAUCCUGGAGUCUCCCUGGUCCCAGGUAGCCACCCACACAAUGGUGGUGUCUACCGCCCUCUUGUGGCGGAGGGAGUUUUUGUUCUUUCCAGUUUCUCAUCUGACAAAAAGUUCCAACAGCAGGGUGGCAGAAGUGAGUGGGUGAGUGUGGGUGUCAAAUAUUUACAUCUGAGCAUCGCGCUAAGUGACAUUAGGGGUAAAUGCGGAGGAGGAUCCAGAGACCCCGGUAAGCUGAACACCUUUAAGCAAGAUCCAGGUUGCCAAAUGAGGUGGGUUUGGCCAAAUGCUGCUUGUUUUCUAAUGUUAAUUUGGGUCCCCAAAACUGCAAGUAGUGUCUGUAAGUAGCUUCUGGGAACCUGCCCCCAAUGGAAUCUGACUGUUAAAUAAAAAUGCCAACAGCCAAGCUGGGGAGGACAGACAGAGGUCGGGUAUUUUUAAUUUCCUGGGGCUUGGGACAGACGGAGAAGGGUAGCUACCAUGUGAAGGAGCCGGGAGAGUGUGGCCAGAGAGGAUUGCCCAGCUGGGUCCAGGGCAGCGAAGAGAGAACAGAGAUUAUUGGCACGUGGAGGUUAGGCAGUGGCCCAGCUAUUGAGCUACUUAAGGCCUAUCAAAAUAUAAAGGCUGUGUGGGGGGAGGGGGAGGAAUGUCUUUCUUUGGGGAACAUAUAUCAUUGAGGCGGGUGGUGAGCCUGCCACUGGGACUUAUUAAUUAAUUAUUUAAUUCAACAGCCAAACAACCAGAGACCUGUUUCAGCGUGUUGAAGAGCCCAGAUGCAGAUCUCAACAGAGAGUUACCCACGUGUCAUCUGUCAUCGGAGAUGCUCUGUACAGAUAUGCCCAAAACAAAUAUGGUGCUCACGACUGAAGACCGGGCUUUUCUGGUUUUGUGAUUUGAGAGACUUUGGGAUCCUAGAAUGAAGGUCUUCUGGUAUUUAUAUUGGAAUAUGGUUUUUUGUUGCUUUUGCUACUGUUCAAGUUUUACGACUUGUUUUCAUUUAUGUAUGCAUUUGUGUAGAAAGCAUACCAAGUGUAUGCAGAUGCCUGCAGUAGCCAGAAGAGGGCGUCAGAUCCCUGGAGCUGGAGUUACAGGUGAGCCACCAAGCAUGGGUGCUUGGUUCCUCUGCAAGAGCACUAUGCACUCUCGACUGCGGUUCUAGUGGAUAUAUUUUUUAAAUCAUCAUCAUCAAAGCUGGGCAGUGGCGGCGCACGCCUUUAAUCCCAGCACUC